AGCAGUAGCCGCGGGAAUACGAAGGGGGCUAGCGUUGUUCGGAAUUACUGGGCGUAAAGCGCACGUAGGCGGACAUUUAAGUCAGGGGUGAAAUCCCGGGGCUCAACCCCGGAACUGCCUUUGAUACUGGGUGUCUAGAGUAUGGAAGAGGUGAGUGGAAUUCCGAGUGUAGAGGUGAAAUUCGUAGAUAUUCGGAGGAACACCAGUGGCGAAGGCGGCUCACUGGUCCAUUACUGACGCUGAGGUGCGAAAGCGUGGGGAGCAAACAGGAUUAGAUACCCGCGUAGUCCCUGUCUCUUAUAC
Molecule: ribosomal RNA, 303 nt
Filed under: uncultured bacterium
Lineage: Bacteria
Description: partial 16S ribosomal RNA
Rfam family: Bacterial small subunit ribosomal RNA
Source: RNAcentral